This 301-nucleotide ribosomal RNA is filed under the name uncultured bacterium. RNAcentral's name for it is "partial 16S ribosomal RNA". It matches the Rfam family "Bacterial small subunit ribosomal RNA", at positions 509 to 807 of the family's 1533-position model. The record is from RNAcentral.
CAGCAGCCGCGGUAAUACGAAGGGGGCUAGCGUUGUUCGGAAUUACUGGGCGUAAAGGGCGCGUAGGCGGCCAUUCAAGUUAGAUGUGAAAGCCCUGGGCUCAACCUAGGAAUUGCAUUUGAUACUGUUUGGCUUGAGUUCGGGAGAGGUGAGUGGAAUUCCCAGUAUAGAGGUGAAAUUCGUAGAUAUUGGGAAGAACACCAGUGGCGAAGGCGGCGACCUGGUCCUUGACUGACGCUGAGGCGCGAAAGCGUGGGGAGCAGACAGGAUUAGAUACCCCGGUAGUCCCUGUCUCUUAUAC